Molecule: non-coding RNA, 405 nt
Organism: Talpa occidentalis (Iberian mole)
Lineage: Eukaryota; Metazoa; Chordata; Mammalia; Eulipotyphla; Talpidae
Source: the annotation of a RefSeq genome assembly
AUGGCCUGGACCCCUCUCCUCAUCCUGCUCCUCUGUCACUCCACAGGUUCCCUCUCCCAGCCUAUGCUGACUCAGCCGCCCUCCCUCUCUGCGUCUCCUGGAGCAACAGCCAGACUCACCUGCACCCUGAGCAGCGGAUUCAGUGUUGGCAGCUAUACCAUACGCUGGUACCAGCAGAAGCCAGGGAGCCCUCCCCAGUUCCUCCUCUACUAUAAAUCAGACUCAGAUAAGUAUCAUGGCCCCGGGGUCCCCAGCCACUUCUCUGGGGCCAAAGAUGCCUCUGCCAAUGCAGGCCUCCUGCUCAUCUCGGGGCCGCAGCCUGAGGACGAGGCCGACUACUACUGUAGUAUAUAUGAUAUAAACACAGACCCUUCACAGUGCUCUAGACCCAGGGGAACCCAGUGA